UCGACGAUGAACCGGUUUCGGCCGGGGAUUAGUGGCGAACGGGUGAGUAACACGUGGGCAAUCUGCCCUGCACUCUGGGACAAGCCCUGGAAACGGGGUCUAAUACCGGAUAUGACACGCUCCCGCAUGGGAUGCGUGUGGAAAGCUCCGGCGGUGCAGGAUGAGCCCGCGGCCUAUCAGCUUGUUGGUGGGGUGAUGGCCUACCAAGGCGACGACGGGUAGCCGGCCUGAGAGGGCGACCGGCCACACUGGGACUGAGACACGGCCCAGACUCCUACGGGAGGCAGCAGUGGGGAAUAUUGCACAAUGGGCGAAAGCCUGAUGCAGCGACGCCGCGUGAGGGAUGACGGCCUUCGGGUUGUAAACCUCUUUCAGCAGGGAAGAAGCGAGAGUGACGGUACCUGCAGAAGAAGCGCCGGCUAACUACGUGCCAGCAGCCGCGGUAAUACGUAGGGCGCAAGCGUUGUCCGGAAUUAUUGGGCGUAAAGAGCUCGUAGGCGGCUUGUCGCGUCGGAUGUGAAAGCCCGGGGCUUAACCCCGGGUCUGCAUUCGAUACGGGCAGGCUAGAGUUCGGUAGGGGAGAUCGGAAUUCCUGGUGUAGCGGUGAAAUGCGCAGAUAUCAGGAGGAACACCGGUGGCGAAGGCGGAUCUCUGGGCCGAUACUGACGCUGAGGAG
This 676-nucleotide ribosomal RNA is filed under the name Streptomyces melanosporofaciens. RNAcentral's name for it is "bacterial SSU rRNA". It matches the Rfam family "Bacterial small subunit ribosomal RNA", at positions 62 to 753 of the family's 1533-position model. Lineage: Bacteria; Bacillati; Actinomycetota; Actinomycetes; Kitasatosporales; Streptomycetaceae. The record is from RNAcentral.